This 488-nucleotide long non-coding RNA is filed under the name Homo sapiens (human). RNAcentral describes it as "non-protein coding lnc-CCT8-2:1". The record is from RNAcentral. Lineage: Eukaryota; Metazoa; Chordata; Mammalia; Primates; Hominidae.
AUGACACCCAAGUUCCACCCCAAGAAAAUCAAAGUUUUGCAUCUUAUGUGUGCCAAUGGGAAAGCAGAUACCACAUCUGUGCUGUCUCUCAAAUUGGCCCCCUGGGUCUGCCUUCAGAAAAGCUGGUGGUGACACUGACAUUGCCAAGGCAGUCAGUGACUGGAAGUGGCUGAAUUCUAGUGAAACUGACAGUUCAGAAUGGACAGACCUAGGAUGAAGUAGCACCUUCCUUUUCUGCACUGACCAUCAGGCUCUCAAAGAACCAUACAGAGAUAGAAAGAGACAGUUACAUAUUAAACACAACGGAAAUAUUGCCUUCUAUGAUACUGUCAACAGCUCCUCACCAACACAGCAUAGAUCUUUAUCCACAGAACUCUCUGGAAUCAUUAAAGUGAGCCUGGGGAUUGCCCACUGUGUGAGCUGCAACACUGACAGCUACGUCCUCAUGACAUCAAAAAUGACAUCAAGAGAGGUGUGGUAGAUGCCCA